AAGUCGUAACAAGGUUUCCGUAGGUGAACCUGCGGAAGGAUCAUUACCGAGUUCAUGCCCUUCGGGGUAGAUCUCCCACCCUUUGUAUACUAUACCUUUGUUGCUUUGGCGGGCCGCCUAGCUACUGGCUUCGGCUGGUAAGUGCCCGCCAGAGAACCCAAAACCCUGAAUUAUUAGUGUCGUCUGAGUAAAAUAUUUAAUAUUUAAAACUUUCAACAACGGACCUCUUGGCUCUGGCAUCGAUGAAGAACGCAGCGAAAUGCGAUAAGUAAUGUGAAUUGCAGAAUUCAGUGAAUCAUCGAAUCUUUGAACGCACAUUGCGCCCCUUGGUAUUCCGAGGGGCAUGCCUAUUCGAGCGUCAUUAUCACCCCUCAAGCCUAGCUUGGUGUUGAGACCUGCUGUCAAGGCAGUCUCUAAAAUCAGUGGCAGUGCUGUCAGGCUCUAAGCGUAGUAAAUUCAUCGCUAUAGACACCUGGUGGCCACUCGCCAGAACCCCCCCAUUUUUUAAUGAUUGACCUCGGAUUAGGUAGGGAUACCCGCUGAACUUAAGCAUAUCAAUAAGCGGAGGAAAAGAAACCAACAGGGAUUGCCUCAGUAACGGCGAGUGAAGCGGCAAAAGCUCAAAUUUGAAAUCUGGCUCUUUUAGGGUCCGAGUUGUAAUUUGUAGAAGAUGUUUCGGGUGUGGCUCCGGUUUAAGUUCUUUGGAAUAUUACAUCAUAGAGGGUGAGAAUCCCGUAUGUGACCGGCAGCCUUCGCCUAUGUGAAACUCUUUCGACGAGUCGAGUUGUUUGGGAAUGCAGCUCAAAAUGGGAGGUAUAUUUCUUCUAAAGCUAAAUAUUGGCCAGAGACCGAUAGCGCACAAGUAGAGUGAUCGAAAGAUGAAAAGCACUUUGGAAAGAGAGUUAAACAGUACGUGAAAUUGUUGAAAGGGAAGCGCUUGCAACCAGACUUGCACGCAGUUGAUCAUCCGGUGUUCUCACCGGGGCACUCUGCUGCGUUCAGGCCAGCAUCGGUUUUGGUGGUUGGAUAAAGGCCUUGGGAAUGUGGCUUCCUUCGGGGAGUGUUAUAGCCCUCGGUGCAAUGCAGCCUACCGGGACCGAGGACCGCGCUUCGGCUAGGAUGCUGGCGUAAUGGUUGUAAGCGACC
Molecule: ribosomal RNA, 1146 nt
Filed under: uncultured Tetracladium
Lineage: Eukaryota; Fungi; Ascomycota
Description: eukaryotic LSU rRNA
Rfam family: Eukaryotic large subunit ribosomal RNA (bases 513-1146)
Source: RNAcentral